GCCUGGCUGGCUCAGUCAGUGGAGCGCGGGACCCUUGAUCUCGGGGUUGUGAGUUCGAGCCCCAUGUUGGGUG
This 73-nucleotide transfer RNA is filed under the name Ailuropoda melanoleuca (giant panda). It matches the Rfam family "tRNA". From Rfam's summary of the family: Transfer RNA (tRNA) molecules are approximately 80 nucleotides in length. Lineage: Eukaryota; Metazoa; Chordata; Mammalia; Carnivora; Ursidae. The record is from Rfam by way of RNAcentral.